ACUUGGUUAUGGUUAACCAUUUCACAUUUAAAAGACCUGUCGAACACCAGUGGCAUUGCCUUCUCACCCAAUUCCAGAGUGUUACGGCCACAGAGUCGGUUUUUGGGUUCAGUUUCAGUACAGCUUAACAGAUCAACAAUAAACAAAACAAGUGUAAAGUGCAGGACUAGAAAACACACGUGAGACACUAGAGCCAGUACCAGCGGUCUUAAUGAACAACACAGGUGACACUGCAGGAUUUUUACCUGGAGCAUAAAAAAUGUGUUGUUGAGUGCACGUUUCACAGAGGAGUGUGUGUAAAUGUAGAAAUAGUGCAGACAGAUGGAGAGUGACUGAAGUACUGAUGUGUAACAGUUAAGACUAGACAUGAGGAACAUUUAGGAUAAAGUGGAUGGAUUUGCAGCUUUAAUCGGGGGAGAGAAAAAAAAGUCUACAUAUCUACGCGUACACCUAUUUAAACUUUAGACGUACAAACGAAUGGGACAUUUGUAUAAGAGUUUUAAAAUCUAUUUUUCGUAAAAACAAAAAACAACAAAACACUAAAAUUGUGCUAGGUUUGACUAAGAAUUUCUUCCAGAGUGUUGACUGAAUAAAAAAAAAAAAAAAGUUUUCAAGGGGUUAAGACCAUCCAUCCAUCUUCUAUACCGCUUAAUCCUUUUCAGGGUCACGGGGAAACCUGGAGCCUAUCCCGGGGAGCAUCGGGCACAAGGCGGGGUACACCCUGGACAGGGUGCCAAUCCAUCACAGGGCACAAUCACAUACACACUCACACAUCCACUGGGGUUAAGACCAGUACAGUCUAAUAAAACAUGUUUCAAGGAUAAUGGAUUCUGGCAAAAGGUACACAUGUUAGUGAGUCUUCUAAUAUUAAAAACUUGUGUGUCAUCCUGAUGUGACAAUGAAUGGGAAAUACGUGCCAUAAUACAAACGUUAACAUUAAUAUUAACAUACUCGUUAUAAAUAAUAAUAAUAAUUUUUUUUUUUUUAAAACAGUGUUCAAUGGUUAUAUGAAGAAUUAGGAGUUAAACUCAAAACAACUUCCCACUGAAGCGAAUAUUUAACACUAAAUAAUCCAGCCCAGUGUGAGGGAAGGUAGAGACCCCUCCUGUGGGCUAAAUCAAUGGCAUGCUAAUGUCUAGGAGAAGGGAAGCUGAGGAGAAAAAGCUCCAAACGCCAUCUUGUUCGCAGCCGCGUCUUGGUCUCUAGACCCGGCAAGCCAUUGAUUCCUCUCGUUUAUUCACCACUGGGGGGUUUCACCAGCUCUAAAAUCCGGUGUAUACUCAUACGUUUAAAAAAGACGACCAUUUUUAUUCAUUUUAUUUUAGGACUCGACAGAGACCCGAGCUGCUCCUGUUUAAUACACAGACCACCACAGACAGUCCAGUUUAACGGCUGUUUCCUCCGAAAAUACAGUUAAUGUCGGUAUGGAAGAAAAAAAAAAAGGCCAUGUCUGUUCCAACAUGGUGGUCAUGAUAAGUGGUCGUUUAAGAUGGAUCAGCGAAAGCCAUCACUGAGGGAUGAGACAUUACACUGGUGAGAUAUUGAUGAUGAGGCGUUGGUUAAUAUUGAUAAUGACUGUAUGUGUGUGACCAUUUGGAAAGACAACAUUAAGCAUGAACUUUGACACCAACCGUUGCAAGACUUACUAGCAGCUCCUGUGAUGAAAUAUUGGAGUUCUUGGAGACUUCUUUUUGCAUCAGAUGAAUCGUUUGAAAUCUGUGCCAGAUUGUUUGAAAUCUGUGCCAUUUGUAGAUUAUUUUCCUUACAGUGGAAUCCUGUAUUUCAAAUAAUUUUAAAUCCCUUGCCAGACCCAUAGGCAUCCACAACCUUUUUUUCUGAAUGCCUUACAGAACUCUUUAAAUCUUGGCAUGAUGACACCACACACCUCAAUAGCAAAGGGAACACCAGACACUACAGUGCAUCCGGAAAAAGUAUUCACA
This is a long non-coding RNA of Ictalurus furcatus (blue catfish), 1940 nucleotides long. RefSeq lists it as uncharacterized. The record is from RefSeq and is a predicted model, not a curated record. Lineage: Eukaryota; Metazoa; Chordata; Actinopteri; Siluriformes; Ictaluridae. The transcript is spliced from 3 exons.